Corythoichthys intestinalis (scribbled pipefish) is the source of this 409-nucleotide long non-coding RNA. RefSeq lists it as uncharacterized. The transcript has 3 exons. The record is from RefSeq and is a predicted model, not a curated record. NCBI's taxonomy places the organism in Eukaryota, Metazoa, Chordata, Actinopteri, Syngnathiformes, Syngnathidae.
GGUACACUUUGGCGCUAAUUAGCCCCCUUCAUUGCAGAUGGAGCGAGUCCCUCUCGGAGAUGUAGCCUACUAAUCAUCUCUGGAGACAAGAGCACGACUGCACAGGCCCAAAGGAGGCGAGGCCCGGUCCUAUCGUUGAAGGUUCACCCCUAAUUUGGACUACGGUUCAUCAAUCAUCCUCCAUCCGAGACCCACCUGAGACAGACCAGCAGUGUCUGGGAGACGAGCGGUCUUGUUGGCGCCGAGGCUUACCCGGAAUACGGCGGCAGCGAAGAAGGUUCCUCAGAGACGCUGCGGGUAGCGUCGUAACGUGCGGACUGCCGCAUCAGGCUGCUCCUGUGCGCCACCUGCAGCUCCAACUGCAUCUUCUCUUCACACAGACGCAGACAUUCCUCUAAAGCGAGAUAAA